RNAcentral lists this ribosomal RNA (1142 nucleotides) under Bacillus sp. AB366d. Its description in RNAcentral is "bacterial SSU rRNA". It matches the Rfam family "Bacterial small subunit ribosomal RNA", at positions 369 to 1504 of the family's 1533-position model. Lineage: Bacteria; Bacillati; Bacillota; Bacilli; Caryophanales; Bacillaceae. The record is from RNAcentral.
AUCCAGGNAUGUCUGACGGAGCACGCCGCGUGUUUCCUUGAAGGUUUCCGGAUCGUAAAGCUCUGUUGUUAGGUUAAGAACAAGUGCGAGAGUAACUGCUCGCACCUUGACGGUACCUAACCAGAAAGCCACGGCUAACUACGUGCCAGCAGCCGCGGUAAUACGUAGGUGGCAAGCGUUGUCCGGAAUUAUUGGGCGUAAAGGGCUCGCAGGCGGUUUCUUAAGUCUGAUGUGAAAGCCCCCGGCUCAACCGGGGAGGGUCAUUGGAAACUGGGAAACUUGAGUGCAGAAGAGGAGAGUGGAAUUCCACGUGUAGCGGUGAAAUGCGUAGAGAUGUGGAGGAACACCAGUGGCGAAGGCGACUCUCUGGUCUGUAACUGACGCUGAGGAGCGAAAGCGUGGGGAGCGAACAGGAUUAGAUACCCUGGUAGUCCACGCCGUAAACGAUGAGUGCUAAGUGUUAGGGGGUUUCCGCCCCUUAGUGCUGCAGCUAACGCAUUAAGCACUCCGCCUGGGGAGUACGGUCGCAAGACUGAAACUCAAAGGAAUUGACGGGGGCCCGCACAAGCGGUGGAGCAUGUGGUUUAAUUCGAAGCAACGCGAAGAACCUUACCAGGUCUUGACAUCCUCUGACAACCCUAGAGAUAGGGCUUUCCCUUCGGGGACAGAGUGACAGGUGGUGCAUGGUUGUCGUCAGCUCGUGUCGUGAGAUGUUGGGUUAAGUCCCGCAACGAGCGCAACCCUUGAUCUUAGUUGCCAGCAUUCAGUUGGGCACUCUAAGGUGACUGCCGGUGACAAACCGGAGGAAGGUGGGGAUGACGUCAAAUCAUCAUGCCCCUUAUGACCUGGGCUACACACGUGCUACAAUGGACAGAACAAAGGGCUGCAAGACCGCAAGGUUUAGCCAAUCCCAUAAAUCUGUUCUCAGUUCGGAUCGCAGUCUGCAACUCGACUGCGUGAAGCUGGAAUCGCUAGUAAUCGCGGAUCAGCAUGCCGCGGUGAAUACGUUCCCGGGCCUUGUACACACCGCCCGUCACACCACGAGAGUUUGCAACACCCGAAGUCGGUGAGGUAACCUUUAUGGAGCCAGCCGCCGAAGGUGGGGCAGAUGAUUGGGGUGAAGUCGUAACAAGGUNAACCAA